RNAcentral lists this ribosomal RNA (497 nucleotides) under uncultured bacterium. RNAcentral describes it as "partial 16S ribosomal RNA". It matches the Rfam family "Bacterial small subunit ribosomal RNA", at positions 28 to 507 of the family's 1533-position model. The record is from RNAcentral.
GAUGAACGCUGGCGGCGUGCCUAAUACAUGCAAGUCGAGCGAACAGACGAGGAGCUUGCUCCUCUGACGUUAGCGGCGGACGGGUGAGUAACACGUGGAUAACCUACCUAUAAGACUGGGAUAACUUCGGGAAACCGGAGCUAAUACCGGAUAAUAUAUUGAACCGCAUGGUUCAAUAGUGAAAGACGGUUUUGCUGUCACUUAUAGAUGGAUCCGCGCCGCAUUAGCUAGUUGGUAAGGUAACGGCUUACCAAGGCAACGAUGCGUAGCCGACCUGAGAGGGUGAUCGGCCACACUGGAACUGAGACACGGUCCAGACUCCUACGUGAGGCAGCAGUAGGGAAUCUUCCGCAAUGGGCGAAAGCCUGACGGAGCAACGCCGCGUGAGUGAUGAAGGUCUUCGGAUCGUAAAACUCUGCUAUUAGGGAAGAACAAAUGUGUAAGUAACUAUGCACGUCUUGACGGUACCUAAUCAGAAAGCCACGGCUAACUACGUG